RNAcentral lists this transfer RNA (162 nucleotides) under Ipomoea nil (Japanese morning glory). It matches the Rfam family "tRNA". Rfam says of the family: Transfer RNA (tRNA) molecules are approximately 80 nucleotides in length. Their secondary structure includes four short double-helical elements and three loops (D, anti-codon, and T loops). The record is from Rfam by way of RNAcentral. Lineage: Eukaryota; Viridiplantae; Streptophyta; Magnoliopsida; Solanales; Convolvulaceae.
CCGACUUUAGCUCAGUUGGUAGAGCGGAGGACUGUAGUUGGAGUAAUAAUCUGAGAGCGGAGGACUGUAGUUGGAGUAAUAAUCUGAGAGCGGAGGACUGUAGUUGGAGUAAUAAUCUGAGCUGAAAUCCUUAGGUCGGUAGUUCAAAUCCGGUAGGUCGGA